Molecule: ribosomal RNA, 468 nt
Filed under: uncultured bacterium
Lineage: Bacteria
Description: partial 16S ribosomal RNA
Rfam family: Bacterial small subunit ribosomal RNA
Source: RNAcentral
GACGAACGCUGGCGGCGUGCUUAACACAUGCAAGUCGAACGGAAAGGCCCUGCUUUUGUGGGGUGCUCGAGUGGCGAACGGGUGAGUAACACGUGAGUAACCUGCCCUUGACUUUGGGAUAACUUCAGGAAACUGGGGCUAAUACCGGAUAGGAGCUCCUGCUGCAUGGUGGGGGUUGGAAAGUUUCGGCGGUUGGGGAUGGACUCGCGGCUUAUCAGCUUGUUGGUGGGGUAGUGGCUUACCAAGGCUUUGACGGGUAGCCGGCCUGAGAGGGUGACCGGCCACAUUGGGACUGAGAUACGGCCCAGACUCCUACGGGAGGCAGCAGUGGGGAAUAUUGCACAAUGGGCGGAAGCCUGAUGCAGCAACGCCGCGUGCGGGAUGACGGCCUCCGUGUUGUAAACCGCUUUCGCCUGUGACGAAGCGUGAGUGACGGUAAUGGGUAAAGAAGCACCGGCUAACUACGUG